AGCAGCCGCGGUAAUUCCAGCUCCAAUAGCGUAUAUUAAAGUUGCUGCAGUUAAAAAGCUCGUAGUUGAAUUUCGGGACCAUCAUGUCGGUCGUGCCUCGGUACGUACUGGCAUUGUUGGUUUCUACCUUCUGACGAACCAUGAUGUCAUUUAUUUGGUGUCGUGGGAAAUCAGGACUGUUACUUUGAAAAAAUUAGAGUGUUUAAAGCAGGCUCACGCUUGAAUACAUUAGCAUGGAAUAAUGAAAUAGGACGUUUGAUUCUAUUUUGUUGGUUUCUAGGAUCGACGUAAUGAUUAAUAGGGAUAGUUGGGGGCAUUAGUAUUCAAUUGUCAGAGGUGAAAUUCUUGGAUUUAUUGAAGACUAACUACUGCGAAAGCAUUUGCCAAGGAUGUUUUCAUUAAUCAAGAACGAAAGUUAGGGGAUCGAAGACGAUCAGAUACCGUCGUAGUCUCAACCAUAAACUAUGCCGACUAGGGAUCGGAUGAUGUAAUUUUUAAUGACUCAUUC
This 508-nucleotide ribosomal RNA is filed under the name uncultured Glomus. RNAcentral describes it as "SSU rRNA". It matches the Rfam family "Eukaryotic small subunit ribosomal RNA", at positions 569 to 1081 of the family's 1831-position model. Lineage: Eukaryota; Fungi; Glomeromycota; Glomeromycetes; Glomerales; Glomeraceae. The record is from RNAcentral.